UACGUAGGGUGCAAGCGUUAUCCGGAAUUAUUGGGCGUAAAGAGCUCGUAGGCGGUUUGUCACGUCUGCUGUGAAAACUGGAGGCUCAACCUCCAGCCUGCAGUGGGUACGGGCAGACUAGAGUGCGGUAGGGGAGAUUGGAAUUCCUGGUGUAGCGGUGGAAUGCGCAGAUAUCAGGAGGAAUACCUAUGGCGGAAAGCAGGUAUCUGGGCCAUCACUGACGCUGAGCUGCGAAAGCUAGGGGAGCAAACGGG
This 254-nucleotide ribosomal RNA is filed under the name uncultured bacterium. RNAcentral describes it as "partial 16S ribosomal RNA". It matches the Rfam family "Bacterial small subunit ribosomal RNA", at positions 524 to 776 of the family's 1533-position model. The record is from RNAcentral.